AAAUUGAGAUAAAUUGUCCUAUUUAGCAAUUCUGAAAUGGAGCAGAUGUUGAGUUCGUGAGGUCCAAAAUAUUUUAAAGGUCGCCCAAUACACACUCAGUAUAAAGAGUGCCAGAAGCUUUCUGCAAAACAACAGUAGCACGCCAUUGGUUGAAACUUUCCAACACACACUGAUGAAGAUGAGAAAGUAUAAAAUAGGUUGAUGGUAAGACUUCGGAGAGAUUUUUUGUGACAAGACGAUGACGAUGAAGAUUUUGUAUUGAACUGAAGAAACUGUAAUGAGGAAUCCGUGGAAGUGUAAUAAAUCUCCAGCUCGUCUAUGGCCUAGCAGCAAGAA
Long non-coding RNA from Poecilia latipinna (sailfin molly), 336 nucleotides. RefSeq lists it as uncharacterized. The transcript is spliced from 2 exons. The record is from RefSeq and is a predicted model, not a curated record. NCBI's taxonomy places the organism in Eukaryota, Metazoa, Chordata, Actinopteri, Cyprinodontiformes, Poeciliidae.